This 316-nucleotide long non-coding RNA is filed under the name Ananas comosus (pineapple). RNAcentral's name for it is "long non-coding RNA (ACOM_LNC030154)". Lineage: Eukaryota; Viridiplantae; Streptophyta; Magnoliopsida; Poales; Bromeliaceae. The record is from RNAcentral.
UUGGUGCAUUUAUGUUGUGGUGCUGCAGCGAUUCGGGCUUCGUUUGGGAUUGCGGAGAGAUUGCGUUACGUACAGUGAGAAACGACGAUGAAAAAAUAUCUCGUUUGUUUCCGUAUGUAAUAUUGUGUUCCGCGUAUUGCGGUUAGUCGGUUAUAAUAUAUUUUCUACGGUCCCAUCGAAGAACGCAGAAGUAUACCCUUAUAUGCUUUUUCUCAAUUCAAUUCUAUCUAAUAGCGUUGGAUAAACUUCAAUGUCAAACUAAGCCCCAGUCUAUUAAUAGCAGUAACUUGUUGGGUUUAAACAAUCGACUUAAAAU